This 385-nucleotide ribosomal RNA is filed under the name uncultured bacterium. Its description in RNAcentral is "bacterial SSU rRNA". It matches the Rfam family "Bacterial small subunit ribosomal RNA", at positions 97 to 515 of the family's 1533-position model. The record is from RNAcentral.
GGCGAACGGGUGAGUAACACGUGACUACCUACCCUUGAGUGGGGGAUAACCCCGGGAAACCGGGGCUAAUACCGCAUAACAUCGAGAGAUCAAAGGAGCAAUCCGCUCUUGGAGGGGGUCGCGGCUGAUUAGCUAGUUGGUGAGGUAACGGCUCACCAAGGCGAAGAUCGGUAUCCGGCCUGAGAGGGCGCACGGACACACUGGAACUGAAACACGGUCCAGACUCCUACGGGAGGCAGCAGUGGGGAAUUUUGCGCAAUGGGGGAAACCCUGACGCAGCAACGCCGCGUGGAGGAUGAAGCCCUUUGGGGCGUAAACUCCUUUCGACUGGGAAGAUACUGACGGUACCAGUGGAAGAAGCACCGGCUAACUCUGUGCCAGCCGC